GGGGGCGAAACGGCUUCGACGGGGAUGUGUAAGCUCUACGUUGCAUGCCGAGCUUCUGUCUGCUCGUAAAACCGAUGGAAAAAACUUAUAAUCGCCGACGAUUAUAACUACGCAGUAGCAGCUUAAUACCCUGCUCUGCCGUUCCCCCGGUCUUCGCCCGUAAGACCGGUACGGAGCGCCGACUCAACGGGCUGGUCUGGUGACGGUUGCCUGUCUGUCACUCGAUGAGAUUCACAGGAUAGCACCAGGAAAUCUAUGUUCCGACUGAGUUCCCGGCGCGAAAAUUAAAGUACGGAACUAAGCAUGUAGAUACGGGAGGGGAGCAUUUGCGGACGCGGGUUCGACUCCCGCCGCCUCCACCA
This 362-nucleotide transfer-messenger RNA is filed under the name Desulfobulbus sp. Tol-SR. It matches the Rfam family "transfer-messenger RNA". From Rfam's summary of the family: Bacterial tmRNA, also known as 10Sa RNA or SsrA, is named for its dual tRNA and mRNA-like properties. The record is from Rfam by way of RNAcentral. Lineage: Bacteria; Pseudomonadati; Thermodesulfobacteriota; Desulfobulbia; Desulfobulbales; Desulfobulbaceae. RNAcentral also lists the same sequence under 2 other names.